This 729-nucleotide ribosomal RNA is filed under the name uncultured bacterium. Its description in RNAcentral is "bacterial SSU rRNA". It matches the Rfam family "Bacterial small subunit ribosomal RNA", at positions 56 to 779 of the family's 1533-position model. The record is from RNAcentral.
UGCAGUCGAGGGGCAGCGAGGGCGUAGCAAUACGCCUGUCGGCGACCGGCGCACUGGUGAGUAACACGUAUGCGACCUGCCCCCUACAGGGGUAUAACCCGUAGAAAUGCGGACUAAUCCCCCAUAGUCCUGGGUGCUGCAUGGCAUUCAGGGGAAAGGCCAGCCGGUAGGGGAUGGGCAUGCGGCGCAUUAGCUAGUUGGCGGGGCAACGGCCCACCAAGGCGACGAUGCGUAGGGGUUCUGAGAGGAAGGUCCCCCACACUGGUACUGAGACACGGACCAGACUCCUACGGGAGGCAGCAGUGAGGAAUAUUGGUCAAUGGGCGCAGGCCUGAACCAGCCAAGUCGCGUGAGGGAAGACGGUCCUACGGAUUGUAAACCUCUUUUGUCGGGGAGUAACGUGCGGGACGCGUCCCGUAUUGAGAGUACCCGAAGAAAAAGCAUCGGCUAACUCCGUGCCAGCAGCCGCGGUAAUACGGAGGAUGCGAGCGUUAUCCGGAUUUAUUGGGUUUAAAGGGUGCGCAGGCGGCGCGCCAAGUCAGCGGUCAAAGUUCCGGGCUCAACCCGGUGUCGCCGUUGAAACUGGCGUGCUCGAGUGCGUGCGAGGAAGGCGGAAUGCGUUGUGUAGCGGUGAAAUGCAUAGAUAUGACGCAGAACUCCGAUUGCGAAGGCAGCUUUCCAGCGCGCUACUGACGCUGAGGCACGAAAGCGUGGGGAUCGAACAGGAUU